GGCCUCAGUAGUAGGGGAACGUAAA
This 25-nucleotide unclassified non-coding RNA is filed under the name Mus musculus (house mouse). RNAcentral describes it as "oocyte_clustered_small_RNA8424". Lineage: Eukaryota; Metazoa; Chordata; Mammalia; Rodentia; Muridae. The record is from RNAcentral.